UACGAAGGGGGCUAGCGUUGUUCGGAAUUACUGGGCGUAAAGCGCGCGCAGGCGGUUCUUUAAGUCAGGGGUGAAAUCCUGGAGCUCAACUCCAGAACUGCCUUUGAUACUGAAGAUCUUGAGUCCGGGAGAGGUGAGUGGAACUGCGAGUGUAGAGGUGAAAUUCGUAGAUAUUCGCAAGAACACCAGUGGCGAAGGCGGCUCACUGGCCCGGUACUGACGCUGAGGCACGAAAGCGUGGGGAGCAAACAGG
RNAcentral lists this ribosomal RNA (253 nucleotides) under uncultured bacterium. RNAcentral's name for it is "partial 16S ribosomal RNA". It matches the Rfam family "Bacterial small subunit ribosomal RNA", at positions 524 to 776 of the family's 1533-position model. The record is from RNAcentral.